GCAUUCGUGGUGUAGCGGUAACAUUGGGUCUUCCCAUGGCCUAGCUCCGGGUUCGACUCCCAGCGGAUGCA
RNAcentral lists this transfer RNA (71 nucleotides) under Dichomitus squalens. RNAcentral's name for it is "tRNA-Gly". It matches the Rfam family "tRNA". Rfam says of the family: Transfer RNA (tRNA) molecules are approximately 80 nucleotides in length. Their secondary structure includes four short double-helical elements and three loops (D, anti-codon, and T loops). Lineage: Eukaryota; Fungi; Basidiomycota; Agaricomycetes; Polyporales; Polyporaceae. The record is from RNAcentral.